Molecule: long non-coding RNA, 5602 nt
Organism: Orcinus orca (killer whale)
Lineage: Eukaryota; Metazoa; Chordata; Mammalia; Artiodactyla; Delphinidae
Exons: 2
Source: RefSeq, a predicted model, not a curated record
AAGAAAGUGAAUCGGGAGGUCAUUUGUGGAGAAAUAGCCAAGGAGGUGCAUAAAAAAAUGGCUCUGUUUAUUAUAAUCCCAGCAUCGAUUACAGCAAUGCACAUCUCAAAUAACCAAAUGACCGACAAUAAGUACUUUGAUAAAUUCUAGUUCAUCUAUGCCAAGGAAUACUACAUAGCCACAUACCAAAAAACAGUUUAUAGAUGUAUAUUUAAUAGAAUGGAAAACUAUCUAUGGUAGACUGUUGGGUCAAAGAAGCUAGGAAGCAGUGACGAGAUUCUUGCAAAAGAAAGUACUCGUGUGCACGAGCCCACGUACGGCGUAUGUAACCGCAUAUGGGCACACGGAUCACAAUCAACAGGAAUAUCUGAGUGAUAAAAUGAUGUGAUUUUUAUUUUUACCGUUGAUAUUUACUACAUGUGUAAUAACAUAUUUGGUUUCUAAUUUGCCUUGUGAAAUAACCUCUCAUGGGCCAGUAACUGGAUAGCUAGGGUGUGAUAUCCCCAUCUCCUUGGACAGUCAGCUGGUUCUUCAGCCCUCAUUUUCCCAGUGUCAUUCCUGCUCUGGUUGCAGGGAAACCAAUGCUGAAGCUCCAGCAGCUCCAGCCAGCAAACCUCACCAAGCUACAUGGCCUCACCUCCACUGUCUGUUGCCUAGCUGAUUGUCUCAUUAAACUGGCUUUUUAGUUCCAAUUGCACUUCUCAGAAACUGUCUUCAUUUUUGUAUAAGGGAGAUGUAAUAGAUCUAAGAGAGAUGGGGAGGGGGGGUUGUUUUUAUUAGUUGAUCUUCCCCCAAUUCUACCUUUAACUAUAGGAAAUGAAAUGGGUACAGGGAAUAGAACGCCCCCAAGGCCAUAUGUGGUCCUGGCACUGAGUUACUUUUAACUGUUCUCUUUCUACUCUUCAGAGGUAUUGAUUUGGUAUUUCUUCCCCACCUGAUAAAGGUGAAGAAGUGAAAAUUCAAUAGAUGACAGCUUUGCCUUGCUACAGCUACUGUGCACCUAAGACUCUACUUAGAAACGACACACAGGAUAGGUUUUAAGACAGAACCGAUCCACGACUUUUCAGUUGGAAAAAUUGAGAUCAUGGUUGGAAUGCCUCCCAAGGAAGAACGCACAUAUGAAAAGAACCGGCAAUUUUUAUUACUGAUACUGUUUUUGUUUUUAAACCUGCUCUCCCAAAUUCAAAGUACAACAAUUAUUAUUGAUUUUUUUAAUGACAAAGAUAACAAAACCAGCAAUGAUAUCACCAUUCUCUGGGCCAGGCCUAUGGGCAGGGCUCUAAAACAGAUUAUCUCGUUUAUUGUCCCCACUUGAUUGAUAAGGAAACCGAGGCGUGGAGAGGUCACGAUGAGGCAUGUUGGCAACGUGAGACAUGGAUGCCAGCAGUCCCAAUCCCUGUAUUUCACCUUUCCUCAAUCAAAUCAUCACCCUCCCUCUGGGAGCCCCGAUAGCCCUUAGAGACCCUGGAGAUUUUCCCAAGCUGGACUCCAUGGCUUCCCCUCAGAGGCCAUUUGGACAGAGGGGGCCACGUUUAAUGGAUCUGGGGGACCCCAUCCUCCUCUCUUAGAUGUUGGACUUUCCCAGAGGAUUCCAGCAUCACAGAAUAUUUGGCAAGUGUCAGUCGAUGUAUAAGAUUCCCAUGUCAUGUCUGAUGAAACUGUAAUCAAAUAUUAAAAAGUGUGACUGGGGUUUAGAGGGAGCCCAGUUUAAUCUGGACCUGUUUGCGAGGCACAUGUUUUUUGUGUGUUUUUUUUUUUUGUGGUACAUGGGCCUCUCACUGCCGUGGCCUUUCCCGCCGCGGAGCACAGGCUCCGGACGCGCAGGCCCAGCAGCCAUGGCUCACGGGCCCAACCGCUCCGCGGCAUGUGGGAUCUUCCCGGACCGGGGCACGAACCCACGUCCCCUGCAUCGGCAGGCGGACUCUCAACCACUGCGCCACCAGGGAAGCCAGCGAGGCACAUUUGAGUCGCCUCUCUCUGUUUCCCCUUUGGCAUUAAAGUGCAAGUAAUGAUUUUUUUACUUGACAUCAGUGCUCUGAGCAAGAACCAGUAAAAGGGAAUGCAAAACACAAGAACACAGGAAUGCCUUACAGAAGUGCUGUGCGGUGCUCAAUCCCAGCACCCUCAGUGCCCCCUGGGGCCUGUGCCUGAAGCCGGUCACACAGGAGGUUGGUAUAGACAGGCCAGGGCCUGCAGAGACACAACCAGGAACCCGAAGAACCCACAGGAGCCGGCAUGUAACUUGGAAUCAUAAGGGAAGCAGACGAAAAGCUUCGUCAACAAAAACAGCCGAGCCCUGGCACGAGGACCAGAAGCAGGCCUGCAGCUUGUCUCAGCAAACAGGCAUCGAUCCAGGGGAGGAUGGGAGGCCUAGGGCUUUUUAAUUAUUAAUGUCUUGUGUUCCCAUGUGGACUCCGCCAUUGGCCCUUAGGCCACCUGGCAUGGUCCUGAGGGAGUUUCCCGCCUCCUCUUUGGGGAAAGUGAAACUUAUAUUGGGGAAUAAAAAAGAAUUGACUCCUGGUCCCUCCUUGAGAAUGCUUCCUUCUUCCACAUUGCUUUUCACGGAGGACACAGUGGAUGCCUCUGAAGCCAAUUUCAGGACGUUUAUGGGACGUAUUUUUCAGAAGUACACACAAGCCAAGCACUGUUAUAAAGGAACCUCCUAAGCUUUAAGCCGAGAUCUGUUCUGUCUUGUUUAAAAGGACCAUAAUAAGUGAUUAAUUCCCCUUAGGAUGUGCAGGAGAGGAAAAGGCAGACAUGAUUAUACACACAAUGCACAUAAACUAGGAAAUAAGCCACUGAUAAUGGGUAAAUACACUUGCAUGCCAGCGAUAGAGGGGUAAAAUGUUCUGCAUUCAGUGGCCUAAAGAUCUCGCAGUUAGUUCAGGGUUUAAACAGAUAAAUUAUACUUGACGUUUUUCCAGAGUCACCCUUUUCUCUCAUUCGAUUUCUUGUGAGAUAAUGUUAUAGGAAAAAUACACAACUGCACCUUAUAAUUUUCAACAAUCAGCUACUACGAGUUAAACUCCAUCACCUCUAUUUAGAAGGGAACGCUUCUCCCUUCAGUGCUGGCACAGUCAAUUGUCUUAGGAAAGCACAAAUCAUUACUAAGUUCUGAAACUUUCUGGAAGGUGAUGACACGUUUACCACAAACCUCCACAUGAUGUUUUCAGGAUCCUCCAUGAAGCAGUGUUAAGGUUCCCAGGUAGGUGUGUCCUGAUCAUUAACUUCAAUUGCAUGUUGCCUUCUAUGUGAGAAGUACUGCCCAAAGAUCAUGAUCAACAGAAAAGGAGUGAGCGUCCCCAUUCUUAAGGAGCACAAAGUCCACUGGGAGAGACAAGAUGAACCAGCAAGAACACAACCCCUACUGGAACCAUAAAAGCAAGCACUAGACCCUUGGAAUACAGAGAAGAAUGGGCCAGGGCUCUGCCCUCACGGGGGAUACCUACUGCCUAUGGAAAAAAGACAUGCAGCAAAAACCCGUGGAAUGAUGACUGUAAGAGACAUGUGCAAAUGGCAACCCGCAAGCCAUUCUUCUGCCUACUCCUGAUUUCUUUCAAUUAUGCUCUUUAUAUAGACCACUUCCUCUGCUGACAGUGCACUUAGUAGAUGACUAGGGUCUACAUCAGAGAUCUCGCAAUUACAGCCCAGGGCCUGUCUUGGAACAGCCUGCAAGCUAAGAAUGAUUUUCACGUUUUUUAAAUGCUUGGGGGAAACAAAAAUCAAAAGAAGGAGAAUAUACAAAAUUCAGAUUUCAGUGUUCAGAAAUAGUUUUAUUGGAACACAGCCAUGCUCCUUCGUUUAAGUAUUAUCGGUGGCUAUUUUCAUGCAGCAAGGGCAGAAUUGAAACAGUUAUGACAGAAAACAUUUGGCCCACAAGACCAAACAUAUUUACUACGUGGCUUAUUAAAGAAAAAAGUUUGCUGACCCUGAUUUGGAUGGUUUGGACCUUAUCUAAGAUAAGAGUAAAUCAAUGUCAGAAAUUAUUAGUUUAAUUAUUAGAACUCAUAAAAGUGGGACUCGUAGUGGCUUCCGAUGGAGUGUAUUUGGUAACCAUCCUAGAACAAAUAUCCCCCAUAAGUCAAUCUUAAAUAAUGCUUUGAAAAAAAAAUACCCAUCACCACAUUUUGUCUUGGUGAAGUAGCACGAGCAUUAGUUGUAUAGAUUAUAAAAUAUGAGAUACUAAAAUGUUAUUUGAAUACAAAAUUAGUGUCAUAUUACCUUUACAAUAUAGUUGGUUCACACCUGCAGCACCUAAUCAGCAAACAUUUACAGAAUAAGUACUUCAUUCCAGAUACUCCGCUAAAGAGUAAGGACAGAAGAUGAGGUUGACACAGUUCCUUAAAGGAAUUUAUAGUUUAUCAGGAAAACAAAGCCAAUGCAAAAAAAAUGUGGGUGAGAAGAUGCUGUACAAUAAAGCCUCAGGAUCCUUUUCUCUCAUUUCAAUUCUGCAUUGGCUGAGAUCUUCCUUGGUGGUCCAGCGGUAAAGAGUCCGCCUUACGACGCAGGGGACGCGGGUUCGAUCCCUGGUCAGGGAACUAAGGUCCCACCUGCUGCGGGUAACUAAGCCUGCACGCCACAACUACUAAGUUUGUGCGCCUCAACUAGAGCCCACGUGCCGCAAACGAUGGAGCCCACAUGCUCUAGGAACCCGCGGGCCACAACUACAGAGCCCAUGUGCCUGGAGCCUGCACGCCACAACGAAAGACCCCACGUGCUCCAACUAAGACCCAACGCAGCCAAAAAUAAAGAAAAUAAAUCAAUCUUUAAAAAAAAUUCUGCAUUGGCUGAAAUGAGGUAAGCCACCAAAGACAGGUCUGUCUGCACCAAAGAGGUUUAUCAAUUUUACAGUAAUAUAAAGGUUAUCCCUCAGCUGACAUAUCACAAGCCAUAUUUAGUAAAUGACUGAAUAACACAGUUAGAAAACCAAGGAUGUAAUCGCUUUUAAUUCUGGCAAGGAUGUGUGUAUUUUAAUUAAUUUGCCUUUCUUCCUGUCACUCACUUUUCCCACUGUGUCCCAAGUAACAAUUCCUUCUUGUUUCCCAGGACAUCCAAGGAUUUGUAGACUAUGAUCUUAUACUGAGUUGUAACCCAGCUGGCCCUACAGCCGUCACUUAGCCCAGCUCUACAAAUAUAUGUACUGCUGCUUUACUCCACCAUCAUCAAACCAUCCAACUAGCAAAACUGGGCCCGGGUCCCCAGAUUAUGGGGAGAAAUGGUCAUUCUGCUCCCAUGAUUCUGUGAAAGGUGUUUUCCAGUGCUGUGAACCCCCAAAAAACUUACAACCUAAUCACUGCCCUGGGUUCCCAGCUGCCUGCUCUCUCUAGCUCCUCCUGGCUGAAAUCCAUCCGGUGGCCCAUACAUCUGGUGACAAUGGAUCCUGAAAGCCCCGAAUGCUCACGGCUCAAUGUGACAAAUGACCAGCCCCAAACGAUGCAGAUGAAGGAUGUCUUUGCUUCCAGUUCAGACUGUAGCUCGUUAUGCAGCCACGUAGUGGGUCAUUCCCUGCACUGGUUUAUCACCAUUUUUUAAUUCAAUAUGUAUCACAACACUGAUGGACUGUAAUGCUUUCAUUAUUGUAAUAAUAACAGCUACCACUCAU